AAGACUUUAGGUUAAAAAAACUUACAACCUUCAAAGUUGUGUAUAUCUAAGACUAAAGGUAAGUCUUA
This 68-nucleotide transfer RNA is filed under the name Dryadomorpha sp. EMHAU-2015-Zz060407. Its description in RNAcentral is "tRNA-Trp". Lineage: Eukaryota; Metazoa; Arthropoda; Insecta; Hemiptera; Cicadellidae. RNAcentral also lists the same sequence under 1 other name. The record is from RNAcentral.